GAUGAACGCUGGCGGCGUGCCUAAUACAUGCAAGUCGAGCGAACAGACGAGGAGCUUGCUCCUCUGACGUUAGCGGCGGACGGGUGAGUAACACGUGGAUAACCUACCUAUAAGACUGGGAUAACUUCGGGAAACCGGAGCUAAUACCGGAUAAUAUAUUGAACCGCAUGGUUCAAUAGUGAAAGACGGUUUUGCUGUCACUUAUAGAUGGAUCCGCGCCGCAUUAGCUAGUUGGUAAGGUAACGGCUUACCAAGGCAACGAUGCGUAGCCGACCUGAGAGGGUGAUCGGCCACACUGGAACUGAGACACGGUCCAGACUCCUACGGGAGGCAGCAGUAGGGAACUUUCCGCAGUGGGCGCAAGCCUGACGGAGCAACGCCGCGUGCGUGAUGAGGGUCUUCGGCUCGUAAAACUCUGUUAUUAGGGAAGAACAAAUGUGUAAGUAAAUAUGCACGUCUUGACGGUACCUAAUCAGAAAGCCACGGCUAACUACGUG
RNAcentral lists this ribosomal RNA (497 nucleotides) under uncultured bacterium. RNAcentral describes it as "partial 16S ribosomal RNA". It matches the Rfam family "Bacterial small subunit ribosomal RNA", at positions 28 to 507 of the family's 1533-position model. The record is from RNAcentral.